This 718-nucleotide ribosomal RNA is filed under the name Kocuria salsicia. RNAcentral's name for it is "bacterial SSU rRNA". It matches the Rfam family "Bacterial small subunit ribosomal RNA", at positions 20 to 745 of the family's 1533-position model. Lineage: Bacteria; Bacillati; Actinomycetota; Actinomycetes; Micrococcales; Micrococcaceae. The record is from RNAcentral.
UGGCUCAGGACGAACGCUGGCGGCGUGCUUAACACAUGCAAGUCGAACGCUGAAGCUUGGUGCUUGCACUGGGUGGAUGAGUGGCGAACGGGUGAGUAAUACGUGAGUAACCUGCCCUUGACUCUGGGAUAAGCCUGGGAAACUGGGUCUAAUACUGGAUAUGACAUGUCACUGCAUGGUGGUGUGUGGAAAGGGUUUUACUGGUUUUGGAUGGGCUCACGGCCUAUCAGCUUGUUGGUGGGGUAAUGGCCUACCAAGGCGACGACGGGUAGCCGGCCUGAGAGGGUGACCGGCCACACUGGGACUGAGACACGGCCCAGACUCCUACGGGAGGCAGCAGUGGGGAAUAUUGCACAAUGGGCGGAAGCCUGAUGCAGCGACGCCGCGUGAGGGAUGACGGCCUUCGGGUUGUAAACCUCUUUCAGCACGGAAGAAGCGAGAGUGACGGUACGUGCAGAAGAAGCGCCGGCUAACUACGUGCCAGCAGCCGCGGUAAUACGUAGGGCGCAAGCGUUGUCCGGAAUUAUUGGGCGUAAAGAGCUCGUAGGCGGUUUGUCGCGUCUGCUGUGAAAGCCCGGGGCUUAACCCCGGGUGUGCAGUGGGUACGGGCAGACUUGAGUGCAGUAGGGGAGACUGGAAUUCCUGGUGUAGCGGUGAAAUGCGCAGAUAUCAGGAAGAACACCGAUGGCGAAGGCAGGUCUCUGGGCUGUUACUGACG